RNAcentral lists this ribosomal RNA (267 nucleotides) under uncultured archaeon. Its description in RNAcentral is "partial 16S ribosomal RNA". It matches the Rfam family "Archaeal small subunit ribosomal RNA", at positions 717 to 982 of the family's 1478-position model. The record is from RNAcentral.
ACACGACUACAUUAGAUACCCCGGUAGUCCCAGCCCUAAACGAUGCGCGUUAGGUGUAUCGGUGACCACGAGUCACCGAGGUGCCGAAGGGAAACCGUGAAACGUGCCGCCUGGGAAGUACGGUCGCAAGGCUGAAACUUAAAGGAAAUUGGCGGGGGAGCACCACAACGGGUGGAGCCUGCGGUUUAAUUUGGACUCAACGCCGGGAAGCUCACCGGAUAAGACAGCGGAAUGAUUGCCGGGCUGAAGACCCUGCAUGACCAGCUG